This 94-nucleotide ribosomal RNA is filed under the name uncultured Chlamydia sp. Its description in RNAcentral is "partial 16S ribosomal RNA". The stretch from base 1 to 74 matches the Rfam family "Bacterial small subunit ribosomal RNA", at positions 1460 to 1533 of the family's 1533-position model. Lineage: Bacteria; Pseudomonadati; Chlamydiota; Chlamydiia; Chlamydiales; Chlamydiaceae. The record is from RNAcentral.
AGGUGAGGCUGAUGACUGGGAUGAAGUCGUAACAAGGUAGCCCUACCGGAAGGUGGGGCUGGAUCACCUCCUUUUAAGGAUAAGGAUAGUUGCC